CGUAGGUGGCAAGCGUUAUCCGGAAUUAUUGGGCGUAAAGCGCGCGUAGGCGGUUUUUUAAGUCUGAUGUGAAAGCCCACGGCUCAACCGUGGAGGGUCAUUGGAAACUGAAAAACUUGAGUGCAGAAGAGGAAAGUGGAAUUCCAUGUGUAGCGGUGAAAUGCGCAGAGAUAUGGAGGAACACCAGUGGCGAAGGCGACUUUCUGGUCUGUAACUGACGCUGAUGUGCGAAAGCGUGGGGAUCAAA
This 247-nucleotide ribosomal RNA is filed under the name uncultured bacterium. Its description in RNAcentral is "partial 16S ribosomal RNA". It matches the Rfam family "Bacterial small subunit ribosomal RNA", at positions 526 to 772 of the family's 1533-position model. The record is from RNAcentral.